RNAcentral lists this ribosomal RNA (460 nucleotides) under uncultured bacterium. Its description in RNAcentral is "partial 16S ribosomal RNA". It matches the Rfam family "Bacterial small subunit ribosomal RNA", at positions 338 to 795 of the family's 1533-position model. The record is from RNAcentral.
CCUACGGGUGGCAGCAGUGAGGAAUAUUGGUCAAUGGGCGCGAGCCUGAACCAGCCAAGCAGCGUGAAGGAUGACGGCCCUACGAGUGGUAAGCUUCUUUUAUAAAGGAAUAAAGUGAGGCACGUGUUCCUUUUUGUAUGUACUUUAUGAAUAAGGAUCGGCUAACUCCGUGCCAUCAGCCGCGGUAAUACGGAGGAUCCGAGCGUUAUCCGGAUUUAUUUGGUUUAAAGGGAGCGUAGAUGGGUUGUUAAGUCAGUUGUGAAAUUUUGCGGCUCAACCGUAAAAGUGCAAUUGAUACUGGCAGUCUUGAGUAUAGUUGAGGUAGGCGGAAUUCGUGGUGUAGCGGUGAAAUGCUUAGAUAUCAGGAAGAACUCCGAUGGCGAAGGCAGCUUACUAAAUUGCCACUGACAUUGAGGCUCGAAAGUGUGGGUAGCAAACAGGAUUAGAUACCCCGGUAGUC